CAUAAUAUAUUAAAUUAAAACAAAAACAUCAAAACAAUUAAAAUAUUAUAAAAAUUAAUUUUAAUUAAAUAAGAUUUGAAGUGAGCUUGCGUUGUCUCAAAUUUGUCAGCCGGGCUGGGCCGGCCUGGCCCGGCAAUCUCUACCCGAUAAUCUCGCAAUGGCAAACGGUAAGGUCUAGGGUUUUGAACCAGUGAGCAAUGCCCCUGGUCCUAGGGUUUUUCGAGCCCAGACUCUGGCCGGAAUCGACCCGAGUUCGAAGCUUGGCUUGUACGAUUCGGAUCAAAGACGAAGACUGCACGCGAGUCUCCGCCGGUUCAUCGGAGCCGGGGCCCGUCUCGGCUCCGAAGCCUUGAUGUGUUUCUCGCCUUUGAUAAAGACAUCAAUGCAACAUGAACAAGCAGGGACUUCGAGAACAUGGAUAUGGGACUCGGACAGAUUAUAAUUUGGGAGGGGUAGGAAACUGUGCUGUUUGUUCCGUAAUGGUACUUUCUAUUUAUGUUACAGUAAUCGAAUUUUAUUAACAUUCAGUUUCUUCAUUUGCUUGUGUUGUGUCCUUGCUUUGGCUGUCAACACUCUACAUUAUGUGAUGAGCAUGUCCAUUGCUGCCAAAGUGGGGAGAGAAGGCAAGGGAGACUGACCUUGAAAGUUUUCUCGGCUUUCAUCAAGCCCUAGAAAGAAAAGAUGCUCCAGAGGGAUUACCUUCUUUGUUUCAGUGUCUUGAUCUCCAACGAAGAGGAUUUGUCACAAACCACUGAUUUUAUAACACACUUUUCUGCUGAAAACUCCUUCCUCCGUGUACUACUUAUGUUUUCAGAGAGAAUUUUCUUUUUUGUUUCCCUGUUAUCUUCCCUGCUUAAAUCGGUUGCUUGAAAGAAUUUCAAAAUACCCUUGUUGACCAAGCAGAAUGAAAUUGUUGAAUGGAAGAAAAGAAGGGGAGCAUCCACAAAUUGAGAUGUUGCCUGAUACAAACUUCCUACAGAAACCUCUGUAGUUUCCUGCUUGUGGUACUUGAGUAGGUUCCUCAAGUCUCAAAUUACAGAUACAUGAACCAAAAUAAAAUUUUAGAAAUGCAAAGCUACUUGCUCACGAACACUUUCUACAAUCCCAUUUCAUUCCCACAUUAGCUGACAUAAUUUUCUUCUUUUCAGAUCUGGAACAGAUACGGCCAUCAGAUGUAAACUGCGGGAUUCAACUAUGAACUCGUUACCCAGGUUGUAAUAAAUGAAGAUUGGAAUAUGGUGAAGCCAGCUGACUUCCUGAGGGUCAUCCUGGCAUGCAAACAGCUUGGAACUCUUUGCCAGCAUGCUGCUUAUCAAAAAAGCGACGGUUGCUCGCAAGGUGAAGGCAGCCUCGCCUCUUGCACACUGACCGCCGCUGUGGAUGUAGCGACGGUUGCUCACAAGGUGAAGGCGGCGGCAGCAGCAGCAGCAGCAGCGACGGGCGGUUGCUGGAGGUGGUCAUGGGAAGUGGGGAGAGAGGCAGCGACUAUGGGGUCACUAGGUGAGGGGGGAGAGAGGAGAGAGAGAAAGAACAGGGAAUGGGCUUUUAUAAUUUUGCAAUUUAAGUGAGGGUAUUUUUAUCAUUUGAGCUGUUUUUUGUAGCCCAAAGAGUACAAAUAGUAUUUUAAAAAAAAAAAAGAAUAGCGAGAUGAAGAACAACAUAUGCAUGGAAUUGAUGAAAGCCUCUUCAGUGACCAAGGAUCUGUGACUUGCGAACUGAGCCAGCUGCGUCAAUCUUGCUUGUUAAAUCUGUAAAAUACUGGUAGUGGGAGUGCUAGAUUGGAAUUAUGAGCACAAAUGUUGUAGUAUUUUUUAAACCAUGAUAGUACAGCCUGAGGCUACGAUUGACAAUCUUUUGAAAUCCUGUACCCGAUGAUUAAAAAUGAAUAGAAUGUAACUGAAGAAUGGGUUCCCUCCCCUUAUUUUAACAUGGGUGCCCUUUGUUGCAUUAAUUUUAUAUGUGCGAGAAUACAGACAA
Molecule: long non-coding RNA, 1977 nt
Organism: Diospyros lotus (date-plum)
Lineage: Eukaryota; Viridiplantae; Streptophyta; Magnoliopsida; Ericales; Ebenaceae
Exons: 3
Source: RefSeq, a predicted model, not a curated record